Molecule: non-coding RNA, 107 nt
Organism: Poronia punctata
Lineage: Eukaryota; Fungi; Ascomycota; Sordariomycetes; Xylariales; Xylariaceae
Source: the annotation of a GenBank genome assembly
GGCAAGAUGGCCGAGUUGGUUAUGGCGUGAGGUUAAGGUCUACCUUGACAUAAAAAGAUAAUUUCCUCAUGGAGCAAUCCGCGUGGGUUCAAGUCCCACUCUUGUCA